GUAUGUCUUAGGAAGCUCACAGAGCAACUUUUUGUUUGAAUCCAUGCAUGUGUUUUGUUAUGAUCUAUGGACAUAUAUAUUACACUUCCCUUAGUUAAAUUGAAAGUUUCUUGUUUCAUAAUCUCUCUGUUUGAAAUUUCCCAGGGUUUGACCAUAAACCAUCUUAUUUUUGUUUUAGUGCCGUGCACAAUCAAAUUGUACAACAAAAAAGUCUUUUGUACUCUAUAUAUAUAUAUAUCUUUUAGAAAACUCAUUUAGCAAUGUUUGUGUCCUGUUUAUGGAAAACAUGAUAUUGUACUAAAAGCCGUAAAAGGUACGGCCACCUGUAGUGCGAAAGACUCUAUCUUUG
This 349-nucleotide unclassified non-coding RNA is filed under the name Hevea brasiliensis (rubber tree). The record is from RNAcentral. Lineage: Eukaryota; Viridiplantae; Streptophyta; Magnoliopsida; Malpighiales; Euphorbiaceae.